UCCACGAGACUUCAUCGGGCUCAAUCUUGUUCGUAACCCAAAUAUCGAUCUCAGAUUUGCCACCCCGCCACCGCUUUACUAACACCGCAAGCUUCUCUUCUCUUACCACAUAUAGACUCCCCAAAAAUUCAUCGAUGAAGGGUUGAGGUAGAGGCAGACGCGGUCCGAAUCUCUCUCUAGUAAAAUCAAAGCAUAUUAAAUAACAAUCUUCUGAUCUUCUAUCUUUAGCAUACCAGUAAGUAUUUCCCUUCAAAGACACGCCAUCUUGCAUAAACGCUAUAUCCCAUUUAAGAGGGAAACUAGAAACCAUCCGUGAAUUAGACCUCAAAUUGUAGAUUUCAAGUCUAUUAGGGUAACUAUCGAAAAC
RNAcentral lists this small RNA (367 nucleotides) under Arabidopsis thaliana (thale cress). Its description in RNAcentral is "ATSL143150". The record is from RNAcentral. Lineage: Eukaryota; Viridiplantae; Streptophyta; Magnoliopsida; Brassicales; Brassicaceae.